This 468-nucleotide ribosomal RNA is filed under the name uncultured bacterium. RNAcentral's name for it is "partial 16S ribosomal RNA". It matches the Rfam family "Bacterial small subunit ribosomal RNA", at positions 28 to 507 of the family's 1533-position model. The record is from RNAcentral.
GACGAACGCUGGCGGCGUGCUUAACACAUGCAAGUCGAACGGAAAGUCCCUGCUUUUGUGGGGUGCUCGAGUUGCGAACUGGUGAGUAACACGUGAGUAACCUGCCCUUGCCUUUGGGAUAACUUCAUGACACUUGGUCUCAUACCGGAUAGGAGCUCCUGCUUCUUGGUGGGGGUUGGAUAGUUUCGGCGGUUGGGGAUGGACUCGCGGCUCAUCAGCUUGUUGGUGGGGUAGUGGCUUACCAAGGCUUUGACGGGUAGCCGGGCUGAGCGGGUAACCGGACAAAUGAGGACUGAGAUACGGCCCAGACUACUACGGGAGGCAGCAGAGGGGAAUAGUGCACAAGGGGAGGAAGCAUGAUGUAGCAAAGCAGCGUGCGGGAAGACGGCAUUCGGGUUGUAAACCGAUGUCGCCUGAGACGAAGCGUGAGUGACGGUAAUGGGUAAAGAAGCACCGGCUAACUACGUG